Long non-coding RNA from Chiroxiphia lanceolata (lance-tailed manakin), 405 nucleotides. RefSeq lists it as uncharacterized. Lineage: Eukaryota; Metazoa; Chordata; Aves; Passeriformes; Pipridae. The transcript is spliced from 3 exons. The record is from RefSeq and is a predicted model, not a curated record.
CUUAUUCAACAAAGAGUCCACUCUUCAAAUCCGUGUGUCUCCAUUUGGAGAUAGGGAAGUUGUGUGGGACCAUGCCAAAGGCUUAAUAGAAGUCUAGGUAGAUGACAUCAGUCAUUCUUCCCUUGUAACUAUUGCAGUCACUUUAUCAUAGAAGGCCACCAGAUUGUUGAGAUCUUGCUUGUGUUUUAUUCAUAAGUAAUGAAAGAGCAAAGGAAGAACUUAAGAGACUAGAAAGAAAACGGUUGUCCCAUCAUGGUCUUAGAAGUUCAACUUUAGUCUUCUUUCAGUAACCUCACCUGACAAGACAGGACAGGGGUUUGCUAUCCAGCAAGAAGUUUGCAAAUUGGAGCAGAUAAAAGCUACUAUCGAAUGCUUCAACACAUAUAAGAAAUAAAUAAACCAAGG